UGAGCAAUCUGCCCUUCUCAUCGGAAUAAGCGUUGGAAACGACGUCUAAUGCCGAAUACGACCUCCUUUCGCAUGAUCGGAGGUGGAAAGCUCCGGCGGAGAAGGAUGAGCUCGCGGCCUAUCAGCUAGUUGGUGUGGGUAAUGGCCCACCAAGGCGACGACGGGUAGCCGGCCUGAGAGGGUGACCGGCCACACGUGGGACUGAGACACGGCCCAGACCUCCGUACGGGGAGCAG
RNAcentral lists this ribosomal RNA (236 nucleotides) under uncultured bacterium. Its description in RNAcentral is "partial 16S ribosomal RNA". It matches the Rfam family "Bacterial small subunit ribosomal RNA", at positions 118 to 351 of the family's 1533-position model. The record is from RNAcentral.